AUUGAACGCUGGCGGCAGGCCUAACACAUGCAAGUCGAGCGGUAGAGAGGUGCUUGCACCUCUUGAGAGCGGCGGACGGGUGAGUAAUACCUAGGAAUCUGCCUGGUAGUGGGGGAUAACGUUCGGAAACGGACGCUAAUACCGCAUACGUCCUACGGGAGAAAGCAGGGGACCUUCGGGCCUUGCGCUAUCAGAUGAGCCUAGGUCGGAUUAGCUAGUUGGUGAGGUAAUGGCUCACCAAGGCUACGAUCCGUAACUGGUCUGAGAGGAUGAUCAGUCACACUGGAACUGAGACACGGUCCAGACUCCUACGGGAGGCAGCAGUGGGGAAUAUUGGACAAUGGGCGAAAGCCUGAUCCAGCCAUGCCGCGUGUGUGAAGAAGGUCUUCGGAUUGUAAAGCACUUUAAGUUGGGAGGAAGGGCAUUAACCUAAUACGUUAGUGUUUUGACGUACCGACAGAAUAAGCACCG
RNAcentral lists this ribosomal RNA (471 nucleotides) under Pseudomonas sp. oral taxon B99. RNAcentral's name for it is "bacterial SSU rRNA". It matches the Rfam family "Bacterial small subunit ribosomal RNA", at positions 30 to 495 of the family's 1533-position model. The record is from RNAcentral. Lineage: Bacteria; Pseudomonadati; Pseudomonadota; Gammaproteobacteria; Pseudomonadales; Pseudomonadaceae.